Molecule: ribosomal RNA, 743 nt
Filed under: uncultured bacterium
Lineage: Bacteria
Description: bacterial SSU rRNA
Rfam family: Bacterial small subunit ribosomal RNA
Source: RNAcentral
CUGGCGGCGUGCCUAAUACAUGCAAGUCGAGCGAACGGACGAGAAGCUUGCUUCUCUGAUGUUAGCGGCGGACGGGUGAGUAACACGUGGAUAACCUACCUAUAAGACUGGGAUAACUUCGGGAAACCGGAGCUAAUACCGGAUAAUAUUUUGAACCGCAUGGUUCAAAAGUGAAAGGCGGUCUUGCUGUCACUUAUAGAUGGAUCCGCGCUGCAUUAGCUAGUUGGUAAGGUAACGGCUUACCAAGGCAACGAUGCAUAGCCGACCUGAGAGGGUGAUCGGCCACAUUGGAACUGAGACACGGUCCAGACUCCUACGGGAGGCAACAGUAGGGAAUCUUCCGCAAUGGGCGAAAGCCUGACGGAGCAACGCCGCGUGAGUGAUGAAGGUCUUCGGAUCGUAAAACUCUGUUAUUAGGGAAGAACAUAUGUGUAAGUAACUGUGCACAUCUUGACGGUACCUAAUCAGAAAGCCACGGCUAACUACGUGCCAGCAGCCGCGGUAAUACGUAGGUGGCAAGCGUUAUCCGGAAUUAUUGGGCGUAAAGCGCGCGUAGGCGGUUUUUUAAGUCUGAUGUGGAAGCCCACGGCUCAACCGUGGAGGGUCAUUGGAAACUGGAAAACUUGAGUGCAGAAGAGGAAAGUGGAAUUCCAUGUGUAGCGGUGAAAUGCGCAGAGAUAUGGAGGAACACCAGUGGCGAAGGCGACUUUCUGGUCUGUAACUGACGCUGAUGUGCGAAAGCG